Molecule: ribosomal RNA, 402 nt
Filed under: uncultured bacterium
Lineage: Bacteria
Description: bacterial SSU rRNA
Rfam family: Bacterial small subunit ribosomal RNA
Source: RNAcentral
UCGGGAAUUUUGGGCAAUGGGCGAAAGCCUGACCCAGCAACGCCGCGUGAGGGAUGAAGUAUUUCGGUAUGUAAACCUCGAAAGAAUGGGAAGAAUAAAUGACGGUACCAUUUAUAAGCUCCGGCUAACUACGUGCCAGCAGCCGCGGUAAUACGUAGGGAGCAAGCGUUGUUCGGAUUUACUGGGCGUAAAGGGCGCGUAGGCGGCGCGGUAAGUCACUUGUGAAAUCUCUGAGCUUAACUCAGAACGGCCAAGUGAUACUGCUGUGCUAGAGUGCGGAAGAGGCAACCGGAAUUCUUGGUGUAGCGGUGAAAUGCGUAGAUAUCAAGAGGAACACCUGAGGCGAAGGCGGGUUGCUGGGCCGACACUGACGCUGAUGCGCGAAAGCGUGGGUAGCAAACA